AUUCAAAGAAGCCACAAUCUCUACUUUAUCAACCGAAGUAUUUGACACGUCUUCCUCAAUAGGAUGAGUUUCAGAAAUCAAAUCACAAGGAUCCAUAUUCACAGAAUUGUCCGAGUUUGCCAAGUUAUCACAAUUCAUAUAUGAACUGGACUCCUCAAAAUUUGCAACUGAUGGCACAGUUCCUGAGUGAUCCACUGACUUGGAGGCAAUUCUACAAUUAUCAUCACUCUCAACCUCAACGCAUAAGUUGUCCACUUUUGUAUUUUCUCCAUGCAGUGGUUCUUUUUCUCGAUCAACA
Molecule: unclassified non-coding RNA, 298 nt
Filed under: Hevea brasiliensis (rubber tree)
Lineage: Eukaryota; Viridiplantae; Streptophyta; Magnoliopsida; Malpighiales; Euphorbiaceae
Source: RNAcentral